CGAAGCUCUUUGGGAAACACUCGCAGAACUGGCUCGUUCUUUACUCACGUCAUUCGUUAGUUCGUUCGUUAUUCGCUAAGAUUGAUCGUUUUCGGGAAACCCACCCCUGUUCUGAGAGUGAAGCUCUUCAGUUCCUGAUCUUUAUUAAAGAUGUGCUGUGUGUUGGAGUUUCACUGUGUAAAUGCUGGAGUUUCACUGUGUUUAAUGUUAACAGAACUGAAACCCAGAGAGGAGCUUCUCCAGAACCCAGCUGUGUUUCUAUGAAGAGUGACCGGUCCAUCGAUCAUCCUCCU
Astyanax mexicanus (Mexican tetra) is the source of this 293-nucleotide long non-coding RNA. RefSeq lists it as uncharacterized. The record is from RefSeq and is a predicted model, not a curated record. The transcript is spliced from 2 exons. Lineage: Eukaryota; Metazoa; Chordata; Actinopteri; Characiformes; Acestrorhamphidae.